This 101-nucleotide transfer RNA is filed under the name Planosporangium flavigriseum. RNAcentral's name for it is "tRNA-Glu". Lineage: Bacteria; Bacillati; Actinomycetota; Actinomycetes; Micromonosporales; Micromonosporaceae. The record is from RNAcentral.
CCGGCCAGCAGGUUGCGGUAGAAGACCAUGUGCAGGUUCUCGUCCUGCGCCACCCGGGCGAGCAUCUGCUCGCAGAUCGGGUCGCCGCUGAACCGGCCGGU